UACGAAGGGGGCUAGCGUUGCUCGGAAUGACUGGGCGUAAAGGGCGCGUAGGCGGAUGGUACAGUCAGAUGUGAAAUUCCUGGGCUUAACCUGGGGGCUGCAUUUGAUACGUGUUGUCUAGAGUGAGGAAGAGGGUCGUGGAAUUCCCAGUGUAGAGGUGAAAUUCGUAGAUAUUGGGAAGAACACCGGUGGCGAAGGCGGCGACCUGGUCCUUUACUGACGCUGAGGCGCGAAAGCGUGGGGGAGCAAACAGG
RNAcentral lists this ribosomal RNA (254 nucleotides) under uncultured bacterium. RNAcentral describes it as "partial 16S ribosomal RNA". It matches the Rfam family "Bacterial small subunit ribosomal RNA", at positions 524 to 776 of the family's 1533-position model. The record is from RNAcentral.